This 433-nucleotide ribosomal RNA is filed under the name uncultured bacterium. RNAcentral describes it as "partial 16S ribosomal RNA". It matches the Rfam family "Bacterial small subunit ribosomal RNA", at positions 29 to 507 of the family's 1533-position model. The record is from RNAcentral.
AACGAACGCUGGCGGCAUGCCUAACACAUGCAAGUCGAACGAGACCUUCGGGUCUAGUGGCGCACGGGUGCGUAACGCGUGGGAACCUGCCCUUAGGUUCGGAAUAACUCCCCGAAAGGGGUGCUAAUACCGGAUAAUGUCUUCGGACCAAAGAUUUAUCGCCUUUGGAUGGGCCCGCGUUGGAUUAGCUAGUUGGUAGGGUAAAAGCCUACCAAGGCGACGAUCCAUAGCAGGUCUGAGAGGAUGAUCAGCCACACUGGGACUGAGACACGGCCCAGACUCCUACGGGAGGCAGCAGUGGGGAAUAUUGGACAAUGGGCGAAAGCCUGAUCCAGCAAUGCCGCGUGAGUGAUGAAGGCCUUAGGGUUGUAAAGCUCUUUUACCCGGGAUGAUAAUGACAGUACCGGGAGAAUAAGCUCCGGCUAACUCCGUG